GCUCACUCAGAACUUGAGGCUCUUUGGAAUGUGUGCUUCCGCCCGAGCAGAGGGGUGAAGAAAAGGCAGAAACAACAAAGCCAGCUGGGCUUUCCAGCUUCCCAUGCCUGGCCCUGCCCUAGCCAAAGGAGGAGAUGCCUGGGGCCUUAAAUCCUCCGGGCUGGCGUCCGGGACACAGAGAGGAAGGCUUGGCGGGGCCCACAGCAAACCAGGGGAGGAAGGCAGGAAGUCUUCUGCGGACAGGCAAGAGCUGGCCUAAGAACGCAUCCAGGGCAGAGGGCUGAGAGGUGGGAGAGGGAGACCGAGGUGGGACAGCGUCCUCUGACACCUGGAUCCACCUGUGCCUGAAGGAGACAUGAAGCUGGCGGUCCCUUCCGUGGAGGCCAGCAAUAAAACUUGAUGGCUGCGAUUCUCCCGCUGAGCAAACACCAUCUUCUCCAUCUCGGGUCUCUUCAGCACUUCGGGGCUGCAGCCGGUCAAUCUGCGCCGCUGGAGGACCGUCUUGUUUACCUUUUAUAAGGCCACACCGAGGCUCUAUCAGGAAUUAAUGCCGCACGGCUUGGAAAGCGAUUCCAGAGCUGGACCCAUGGGGGGAACAUCACUGAGAUCGGGAGAGACACAAAGUCACCCCGCUGCCCUCACGGGGCCGGAAGGGUGGCGUCCGUGUCCCCGCAGGUUCUCCCCAUGAGUGUUUCUGUUCCUGGUAUGGAGCCCAGUGUCCAACAGACUGAGAACUACGUGAGAAUUUAUUGAAUAAAAGAAGGGAUGAACCGGAGUGACCAUCGUUCAUGUUGAGUGUUUCUAACUUUUCUUAAACACAAAAGUGCUUAAAGUCUCUGUGGACAGAAG
Fukomys damarensis (Damara mole-rat) is the source of this 849-nucleotide long non-coding RNA. RefSeq lists it as uncharacterized. The record is from RefSeq and is a predicted model, not a curated record. The transcript is spliced from 3 exons. NCBI's taxonomy places the organism in Eukaryota, Metazoa, Chordata, Mammalia, Rodentia, Bathyergidae.